This 468-nucleotide ribosomal RNA is filed under the name uncultured bacterium. RNAcentral's name for it is "partial 16S ribosomal RNA". It matches the Rfam family "Bacterial small subunit ribosomal RNA", at positions 28 to 507 of the family's 1533-position model. The record is from RNAcentral.
GACGAACGCUGGCGGCGUGCUUAACACAUGCAAGUCGAACGGACAGGCCCUGCUUUUGUUUGGUGCUCGAUUGGCGAACGCGUGAGUAACACGUGAGUAUCCUGCCCCUGUCUUUGUGAUAUCUUCACGAGACUGCGGCUCUUAUCGCGUAUAAUCUCCUGCUCCAUGGUGUUGGUUGGAGAGUUUCGGCGGUUGGGGAUGGACUCGCGGCUUCUCAGCUGGUUGGGCGGGUAGUGGCUUACCAAGGCUAUGACGGGUAGCCGGCCUGAGAGGGUGACCGGGCACAUGGGGACUGAGAUACGGCCCAGACUCCUACGGGAGGCAGCAGUGGGGAAUAUGGCACAAUGGGCGGAAGCCUGAUGCAGCAGCGCCGCGUGCGGGAUGACGGCCUUCGGGUGGUAAACCGCUUUGGCCGGAGACGAAGCGUGAGUGACGGUAAUGGGUAAAGAAGCACCGGCUAACUACGUG